This 581-nucleotide ribosomal RNA is filed under the name uncultured bacterium. Its description in RNAcentral is "bacterial SSU rRNA". It matches the Rfam family "Bacterial small subunit ribosomal RNA", at positions 249 to 844 of the family's 1533-position model. The record is from RNAcentral.
UUGGUAGGGUAAUGGCCUACCAAGGCGACGAUGGGUAGCCGACCUGAGAGGGUGAUCGGCCACACUGGGACUGAGACACGGCCCAGACUCCUACGGGAGGCAGCAGUGGGGAAUAUUGCGCAAUGGGGGGAACCCUGACGCAGCAACGCCGCGUGAGUGAAGAAGGUUUUCGGAUCGUAAAGCUCUGUCAUUGGGGACGAAAAGAUGACGGUACCCAAGGAGGAAGCCCCGGCUAACUACGUGCCAGCAGCCGCGGUAAUACGUAGGGGGCGAGCGUUGUCCGGAAUUACUGGGCGUAAAGGGUGCGUAGGCGGCUUCAGAAGUCAGGUGUGAAAUACCGUGGCUCAACUACGGGGGUGCAUUUGAAACUUUGAAGCUUGAGUGCAGGAGAGGAAAGUGGAAUUCCUAGUGUAGCGGUGAAAUGCGUAGAGAUUAGGAGGAACACCAGUGGCGAAGGCGACUUUCUGGACUGUAACUGACGCUGAUGCACGAAAGCGUGGGUAGCGAACAGGAUUAGAUACCCUGGUAGUCCACGCCGUAAACGAUGGAUACUAGGUGUAGGAGGUAUCGACCCCUUCUGU